Molecule: transfer RNA, 62 nt
Filed under: Ishiharodelphax matsuyamensis
Lineage: Eukaryota; Metazoa; Arthropoda; Insecta; Hemiptera; Delphacidae
Description: tRNA-Pro
Source: RNAcentral
CAGUGAAUAGUUUAAUUAAAAUUUUAAUUUUGGAUAUUAAAGAUGCUCAUGUGUUUUACUGA